Molecule: ribosomal RNA, 402 nt
Filed under: uncultured bacterium
Lineage: Bacteria
Description: bacterial SSU rRNA
Rfam family: Bacterial small subunit ribosomal RNA
Source: RNAcentral
UGGGGAAUAUUGGACAAUGGGCGAAAGCCUGAUCCAGCCAUGCCGCGUGAGUGAUGAAGGCCCUAGGGUUGUAAAGCUCUUUUGUGCGGGAAGAUAAUGACGGUACCGCAAGAAUAAGCCCCGGCUAACUUCGUGCCAGCAGCCGCGGUAAUACGAAGGGGGCUAGCGUUGCUCAGAAUCACUGGGCGUAAAGGGUGCGUAGGCGGGUUUCUAAGUCAGAGGUGAAAGCCUGGAGCUCAACUCCAGAACUGCCUUUGAUACUGGAAGUCUUGAGUUCGGGAGAGGUGAGUGGAACUGCGAGUGUAGAGGUGAAAUUCGUAGAUAUUCGCAAGAACACCAGUGGCGAAGGCGGCUCACUGGCCCGAUACUGACGCUGAGGUGCGAAAGCGUGGGGAGCAAACA